RNAcentral lists this ribosomal RNA (197 nucleotides) under uncultured bacterium. Its description in RNAcentral is "partial 16S ribosomal RNA". It matches the Rfam family "Bacterial small subunit ribosomal RNA", at positions 328 to 539 of the family's 1533-position model. The record is from RNAcentral.
ACGCUCGACACCUACGGGAGCAGCAGUGGGGAAUAUUGCACAAUGGGGGAAACCCUGAUGCAGCGACGCCGCGUGAGCGAAGAAGUAUUUCGGUAUGUAAAGCUCUAUCAGCAGGGAAGAAAAUGACGGUACCUGACUAAGAAGCCCCGGCUAACUACGUGUCAGCAGCCGCGGUAAUCUGAGCGGGCUGGCAAGGC